CUUCUCCUUGUCUACUCUCCUCCCUCUCCUUGUCUACUCUCCUCCCUCUCCUCGUCUACUCCCUCUCCUCGUCUACUCUCCUCCCACUCCCCGUUGACCCUCCUCCCUCACCUCGUUUACUCUGAUCUGAAAACACAAGACCGGUGAAACCAACAGCAAAAUAUAAUCAUAUUCAGAUCUGUUGUAAAAUGCACAAUAAACUGUAGAUUCAUUAAUUAGCUUGGAAGAAUGCCAGGAGAUUGACUUUAGUCUCUUGUACUUUCAUAGGUGUGCAGAUGGAGUGGAGACGAGGACAGGAAGCCACUGUAGACUAUUGAGAUGCAGCCUUGUUUAGUUCAUAGGUGUGCAGAUGGAGGGGGGGACGAGAACAGGAAGCUACUGUAGACUAUUGAGAUGCAGCCUUGUUUAGUUCAUAGGUGUGCAGAUGGAGUGGAGACGAGGACAGGAAGCCACAGUAGACUAUUGAGAUGCAGCCUUGUUUUAAUUUAAAUGUUAUUUUCACUCGUCCUCUGGCUGGUUCAGAUGACUAUCUUACUUUUGGAAUCUGAAGUAUUUAUAUAUCUGCACAAUGUGGGGGGAGAGAAAACAAACGAUCAAAUCUAAUCUUUAUGUGCAUGUCUUUUUCUGUUGUUUCUCUAGUUUUGGCUUGUUGUGGGUAUCGUAGAUUCAUUUUUUCAUGUUUGUCAUCGUGGUUUAGAUCUGUCUUUACAGUCUGGAGGGAUUACUGUGUGGUGGGUACUUUUAAACACCUGUUUCUCUCUGAUAAUAAUAAACCUUAUUGUGGGGA
This is a long non-coding RNA of Oncorhynchus tshawytscha (Chinook salmon), 787 nucleotides long. RefSeq lists it as uncharacterized. The record is from RefSeq and is a predicted model, not a curated record. The transcript is spliced from 2 exons. NCBI's taxonomy places the organism in Eukaryota, Metazoa, Chordata, Actinopteri, Salmoniformes, Salmonidae.